UGGGGAAUAUUGGACAAUGGGGGCAACCCUGAUCCAGCAAUGCCGCGUGUGUGAAGAAGGCCUGCGGGUUGUAAAGCACUUUCAAUCGUGAAGAAAAGCUUACGGAUAAUACCUGUAAGUCUUGACGUUAACGAUACAAGAAGCACCGGCUAACUCCGUGCCAGCAGCCGCGGUAAUACGGAGGGUGCGAGCGUUAAUCGGAAUUACUGGGCGUAAAGAGCACGUAGGCGGUUUGGUCAGUCGGAUGUGAAAGCCCCGGGCUUAACCUGGGAAUUGCAUUCGAUACUGCCAAGCUAGAGUUUAGUAGAGGAAUGCGGAAUUCCGGGUGUAGCGGUGAAAUGCGUAGAGAUCCGGAGGAACAUCAGUGGCGAAGGCGGCAUUCUGGGCUAAAACUGACGCUGAGGUGCGAAAGCGUGGGGAGCAAACAGGAUUAGAUACCCCCGUAGUCC
This 449-nucleotide ribosomal RNA is filed under the name uncultured prokaryote. RNAcentral's name for it is "bacterial SSU rRNA". It matches the Rfam family "Bacterial small subunit ribosomal RNA", at positions 355 to 796 of the family's 1533-position model. The record is from RNAcentral.